CAUAGCGUAAUGAAGCGAACCGGGGGAACUGAAACAUCUAAGUACCCCGAGGAAAAGAAAUCAACCGAGAUUCCCCCAGUAGCGGCGAGCGAACGGGGAGCAGCCCAGAGUCUGAAUCAGCUUGUGUGUUAGUGGAACGGUCUGGAAAGUCCGACGGUACAGGGUGAUAGUCCCGUACACCAAAAUGCACAGGUUGUGAACUCGAAGAGUAGGGCGGGACACGUGGUAUCCUGUCUGAAUAUGGGGGGACCAUCCUCCAAGGCUAAAUACUCCUGACUGACCGAUAGUGAACCAGUACCGUGAGGGAAAGGCGAAAAGAACCCCGGCGAGGGGAGUGAAAAAGAACCUGAAACCGUGUACGUACAAGCAGUGGGAGCCUCUUUAUGGGGUGACUGCGUACCUUUUGUAUAAUGGGUCAGCGACUUAUAUUCUGUAGCAAGGUUAACCGUAUAGGGGAGCCGAAGGGAAACCGAGUCUUAACUGGGCGUUAAGUUGCAGGGUAUAGACCCGAAACCCGGUGAUCUAGCCAUGGGCAGGUUGAAGGUUGGGUAACACUAACUGGAGGACCGAACCGACUAAUGUUGAAAAAUUAGCGGAUGACUUGUGGCUGGGGGUGAAAGGCCAAUCAAACCGGGAGAUAGCUGGUUCUCCCCGAAAGCU
RNAcentral lists this ribosomal RNA (660 nucleotides) under Citrobacter freundii. RNAcentral describes it as "partial 23S ribosomal RNA". It matches the Rfam family "Bacterial large subunit ribosomal RNA", at positions 165 to 867 of the family's 2925-position model. The record is from RNAcentral. Lineage: Bacteria; Pseudomonadati; Pseudomonadota; Gammaproteobacteria; Enterobacterales; Enterobacteriaceae.